CGCCUCUUGCAAAAUCAACGAAUAAGAGGUCCCGCCUGCCCUGUGACUUCACGUUUAACGGCCGCGGUAUUUUGACCGUGCAAAGGUAGCGCAAUCACUUGUCUUUUAAAUGAAGACCCGUAUGAAUGGCAUAACGAGGGCUUAACUGUCUCCUCUUUCAAGUCAAUGAAAUUGAUCUCCCCGUGCAGAAGCGGGGAUAAGCACAUAAGACGAGAAGACCCUGUGGAGCUUUAGGCACUAAGACAGCACAUAAAAAUUUCCCCAGAUUAAUGGCCAAAACAACUUGUACCCUGUCCUAAUGCCUUCGGUUGGGGCGACCGCGGGGAAAUAAAAAACCCCCAUGCAGAAUGGGAGAACACCUCCUACAACCAAGAGCUACUGCUCUAAUUAACAGAACCUCUGACUACAGAAGAUCCGGCAAUGCCGAUUAACGGACCGAGUUACCCCAGGGAUAACAGCGCAAUCCCCUUUUAGAGCCCAUAUCGACAAGGGGGUUUACGACCUCGAUGUUGGAUCAGGACAUCCUAAUGGUGCAGCCGCUAUUAAGGGUUCGUUUGUUCAACGAUCAAAGUCCU
RNAcentral lists this ribosomal RNA (575 nucleotides) under Centropyge multispinis (dusky angelfish). Its description in RNAcentral is "partial large subunit ribosomal RNA". It matches the Rfam family "Bacterial large subunit ribosomal RNA", at positions 1817 to 2597 of the family's 2925-position model. Lineage: Eukaryota; Metazoa; Chordata; Actinopteri; Pomacanthidae. The record is from RNAcentral.